Non-coding RNA from Pelobates cultripes (western spadefoot toad), 343 nucleotides. Lineage: Eukaryota; Metazoa; Chordata; Amphibia; Anura; Pelobatidae. The record is from the annotation of a GenBank genome assembly.
GAGCUGAGUAAAAUACAGAGACAUAACACACAGAGCUGUGCACAAUAAGGAGAUACCAAUAACUAUGGCACACAACAUGGGGAACUGUGAUGGAUUAUAGAGCUGCAGAGAUCGCCACACAGUGCAAUGUCUCUGUAUAAUGUUGCAGCUCUCUCUGUAAAUUCUAGCUCUCUAGCCCUCUCUUACUUAUCCAUAUCCUGUUCUCAUCUUCAUUAGUGCUCCUGCUAUGACAACUUUAGAAUUCUAGUAAAUUUGGUGCUGUUUAGAUAUACUUCCCCUUACCUUACUCCAUCUGCUGUUCUAUGUUAAUUCGCACCCGCUACAGCGGAAGAGUCCUCCCAGC